GGAGGGAUGCCCGAGUGGUUAAAGGGGACGGACUGUAAAUCCGUUGGCUCAGCCUACGUUGGUUCAAAUCCAACUCCCUCCACCA
RNAcentral lists this transfer RNA (85 nucleotides) under Agrobacterium tumefaciens. RNAcentral describes it as "tRNA-Tyr". It matches the Rfam family "tRNA". From Rfam's summary of the family: Transfer RNA (tRNA) molecules are approximately 80 nucleotides in length. Their secondary structure includes four short double-helical elements and three loops (D, anti-codon, and T loops). Lineage: Bacteria; Pseudomonadati; Pseudomonadota; Alphaproteobacteria; Hyphomicrobiales; Rhizobiaceae. RNAcentral also lists the same sequence under 453 other names. The record is from RNAcentral.